Long non-coding RNA from Acanthochromis polyacanthus (spiny chromis), 1814 nucleotides. RefSeq lists it as uncharacterized. The record is from RefSeq and is a predicted model, not a curated record. Lineage: Eukaryota; Metazoa; Chordata; Actinopteri; Pomacentridae. The transcript has 3 exons.
AACAACACCAUAUGGUGCUGUGAAAAGCGCGGUUCCCGUUUGAGUUGGUCGACAGAAACUGUUCGAGAAGAAGAAGGCGACAUGCCAUUGGCUGUUUUGACGUGACGCUUAACAAUUUCAAAAACCAUCGCGCGGCGGUUCCAGUUUCAAUUCAAUUCAAUUCAAUUUUAUUUAUAUAGCGUCAAUUACAGUCAACUCGUCUCAAGAUGCUUUACAGAACCCAAAUGCCUGACCCCCAGAGCAAGCCCAAAGGCGACAGUGGCAAGGAAAAACACCCUUUUAACAGGGAAGAAACCUCGAGCAGAACCCGGCUCUAUAUAGGGGGGACCCAUCUACCUGCUGGCCGGGCGGGUUGAGAAGGACAGAAGAGGGCAAGGAGACAGCAGCUAAUGUCGAGGCUGGAGGAAUGAGAAAUGUAGAAGGCAAGUAUCAAACUGAAGCUGAGCCGCAUUAGCUUUAUUUAUCACCAUGCCUCUGAGUUUACGCAGUCGGUAAAAGGCACUGAAUCCGCUGAUAUGUCGUCAAUUGAAAUGUUAGCUAACUAUGAUGACAAAAGCAUGGCCGGCGGUGUCGGCAUCUGUUAGCUAGCUGCAUUUUAGCAUUCAGCCAGACCAGCUACUAACGUUAGCUUACCACUUAGCAGUGAGUCAUUACGUUUGCUUUUGUGAACUGACUCAGGCGGAGAGAAAGACGAACAUUUGUUUAGAGUUGCAACAAUGAACAAUAAUCAAUUAUUAACCCUCUUAUACAUUUUCACUAGUUUUUUGUCCACAAUUUUCACUGUAUGACUUGAAAUGGCAUGAUUUUUGCCUCGAUUAGGAAGCUUAAUUUUAUGUAACUUGUCAAAAUUUGGUUUUGAAAUUUUUCUCACGUUUGCUCCUCAAGUACUUCAAUGAAGAAGAAGAACAGAUGUUCUACAAAGUGGAUCAAACAACCCUGCCCUCUGAAGUGGACUGUGCUGGACUUCCAAGUACACCAUGUAUUGUUGUGUGUGGAAACUCGACUUUGGCAGCGGAGAAUUUCAUGCUGUCUGUUGACCAGACCAUUGUGAUGGCCACAUCAGAAUCUUCAGUGAUGCUCUUUUGCUGAUGUUUGGUUCGUACUACUGUAUGAACAUAUCUUACCCAGCAGCCCAAGCAUCAACUUUGGAGUUCUUACAGAGGUGCCUCUUCAAGAUAAAUCCAGAUAAGGGAUCAAAAGUGGAGCGGAACGCCACCAAAAAACAACUUGCAGUCAGUCCAAAGGUUCUCACACUGAUCACCAAAAUUGCAGACUGAGUGGAGGGAAUAAGAAGUGCUCUCUAGUUAUGGAUACUUUGUCCAAGUUACAGACUGUUGUGGAUUAAUAUCCAGUGAGGUUUCAUGUAAGCUAUUUAUGUAGCUUUGUCAUCAAUGUUUUGGAUCUAUGGUUACUUGACCAGGUUAUGGAUGACUUAAAUAGAAUAUGUAUUCAUUUCCAGAGAGGUUUACUGUAGGUUUGUAAUCCAUGUUGUGGAUGUACAGUGACUUGACCAAGUUAUGGAUGCCUUGGAUAGAGUAUGGAUUCAUUUCCAGUGAGGUUUGACAAAGUUUCUCAUCAAUGUUUUGGAUGUGUGGUUACUUGACCAAGUUAGGAAUGCCUUGGAUAGAAAUAAUACUGGGAAUUGGUAACUCAGCUUUUUUUUUUAAUGCUUUUUUCUUUCAUUUCCAAUUCAGUUUAAUUUUAUUUUUGUUUGUUUCAGAGCCAGUCAUUUUAAUUUAAUCAAUUUUUGAAUAUUGCUGUAAUAAUGGUUACCUGUUACAGUUGAAUAAAAAUACUGAGAAUGGGAAACUGUA